Molecule: ribosomal RNA, 497 nt
Filed under: uncultured bacterium
Lineage: Bacteria
Description: partial 16S ribosomal RNA
Rfam family: Bacterial small subunit ribosomal RNA
Source: RNAcentral
GAUGAACGCUGGCGGCGUGCCUAAUACAUGCCAGUCGAGCGAACGGACGAGAAGCUUGCUCCUCUGAUGUUAGCGGCGGACGGGUGAGUAACACGUGGAUAACCUACCUAUAAGACUGGGAUAACUUCGGGAAACCGUAGCUAAUACCGGAUAAUAUUUUGAACCGCAUGGUUCAAAAGUGAAAGACGGUCUUGCUGUCACUUAUAGAUGGAUCCGCGCUGCAUUAGCUAGUUGGUAAGGUAACGGCUUACCAAGGCAACGAUGCAUAGCCGACCUGAGAGGGUGAUCGGCCACACUGGAACUGAGACACGGUCCAGACUCCUACGGGAGGCAGCAGUAGGGAAUCUUCCGCAAUGGGCGAAAGCCUGACGGAGCAACGCCGCGUGAGUGAUGAAGGUCUUCGGAUCGUAAAACUCUGUUAUUAGGGAAGAACAUAUGUGUAAGUAACUGUGCACAUCUUGACGGUACCUAAUCAGAAAGCCACGGCUAACUACGUG